This 1173-nucleotide ribosomal RNA is filed under the name Triticum aestivum (bread wheat). Its description in RNAcentral is "partial small subunit ribosomal RNA". The record is from RNAcentral. Lineage: Eukaryota; Viridiplantae; Streptophyta; Magnoliopsida; Poales; Poaceae.
AUGUUGAAGCGGCAUUUCUUCUUGAAGAAUCGUGGACAGUUGCUGCAACAGUUGGUACCUCAAAGAGCCGAUAUUGCGGAAAGAAUGGUUAUAACCUUGAAAGGGAUUGAGAAGGCCACAAACAAUUUUGAUAAAACACGCGAGCUUGGUGGCGGCGGGCAUGGCAUGGUUUACAAAGGGAUCUUAUCGGACCUCCAUGUUGUAGCCAUCAAGAAACCAAAGACAGUCAUUCAAAAGGAGAUUGAUGAGUUCAUUAAUGAGGUUGCCAUCCUAUCACAGAUCAAUCAUAGAAAUGUAGUUAAACUAUAUGGUUGCUGCCUUGAAACCGAAGUCCCCUUGUUGGUUUAUGAGUUCAUAUCCAAUGGUACCCUGUAUGAACAUCUUCAUGUUGAGGGGCCAAGAUCUUUAUCAUUGGAUGAUAGGUUGCGGAUAGCAACUGAAACAGCUAAAUCAAUAGCAUAUCUUCACUCCAUAGCUUCAAUACCUAUCAUCCACAGAGAUAUCAAGUCUGUUAACAUACUUCUCGAUGAUACUCUGACGGCAAAGGUGGCUGAUUUUGGUGCUUCAAGAUACAUUCCCAUGGAUAGGUCAGGAGUAACAACAAUGGUGCAAGGUACAAUCGGAUAUUUGGACCCCAUGUACUUUUAUACACAAAGGCUCACAGAGAAGAGUGAUGUUUAUAGUUUUGGUGUCAUUCUUAUAGAGUUGUUGACUAGAAAAAAACCAUUUGCAUACAUUUCGCUGGAUGGUGAAGGCCUUGUUGCACAUUUUUCUGCUUUACUUACUAAAGGCAAUUUGUCACAAAUACUAGACCAACAAGUUCUUGAUGAAGGAGGCAAAGAAGUGGAAGAAGUCGCUGUGCUUGCUAAGGCAUGUGUACACCUAACAGGAGAGGAUCGUCCGCCCAUGAGACAAGUAGAGUUGGCAUUGGAAGGCCUUCCAGUAUCCAGAAAGAAGAUGUUAGAUAAGGUGUCGGCCAAGGAAUUUGAGAGGAAUGGUAUUAUGAUAAACCACCCAUGGGUUGGAGAUGAAAGAAGCAGUAAAGAGACGUCAAGACAAUAUAGCAUGGAAGCUGUUAUCCUCAAGGUAUCCUCGAUAGCUCUGCAUACGCAUGAUACAAUGCAGACUCAAUUUCUGACAGUUAGUUCCAAAGGUUUAUUUGAAUUCAUCUAA